Molecule: ribosomal RNA, 229 nt
Filed under: uncultured bacterium
Lineage: Bacteria
Description: partial 16S ribosomal RNA
Rfam family: Bacterial small subunit ribosomal RNA
Source: RNAcentral
UACGUAGGCGGAAAAUUAAGUCAGUAGUGAAAUCCUGCAGCUUAACUGUAGAACUGUUAUUGAUACUGGUUUUCUUGAAUAUAGUUGAGGUAAGCGGAAUGUGUAAUGUAGCGGUGAAAUGCUUAGAUAUUACACAGAACACCGAUUGCGAAGGCAGCUUACUAAACUGUUAUUGACGCUGAGGUACGAAAGCGUGGGGAGCGAACAGGAUUAGAUACCCUGGUAGUCC